UACAGAGGUCUCGAGCGUUGUUCGGAUUCAUUGGGCGUAAAGGGUGCGUAGGCGGCGCUGUAAGUCAGGUGUGAAAUUUCGGAGCUUAACUCCGAAACUGCAUUUGAUACUGCGGUGCUUGAGGACUGGAGAGGAGACUGGAAUUUACGGUGUAGCAGUGAAAUGCGUAGAGAUCGUAAGGAAGACCAGUGGCGAAGGCGGGUCUCUGGACAGUUCCUGACACUGAGGCACGAAGGCCAGGGGAGCAAGCGGG
Molecule: ribosomal RNA, 253 nt
Filed under: uncultured bacterium
Lineage: Bacteria
Description: partial 16S ribosomal RNA
Rfam family: Bacterial small subunit ribosomal RNA
Source: RNAcentral